UUUCUACGGUCGCCGCUCCGUUGGCUCCGUGUCCGUGAUCUGUCAGUCCGUGCAACUCGACCUGUGGCGUCAUCGUGCAGUGAUGGGUCGAAGCUGUUGAAAUUCCUUUAGAAUCAACCUUCCUCGCAGUUCUACCAAAGCAGCGCCGUAAUUCCGAACAUUUCACUGGCGCGGUGAUGAAAUCAAACGGGAGCAACCGCGGUGCCCUGCGGCCACACUACGGCGGACGCGCUCCGCCUUUCUUGCUCGCAGCACUCUUGAUCGGGCUGGUGCUCAUCGGAUUCUGCUACUACAACUUGUCCUCGCAGUACAGUGCCUUGGAGGUGCAAUACCGGGACUUGCAAGAGCGACUGAGGGCCAUGGCGGAAAAGCGCGAGUCGCUGGAGACCCGUCACGACGAGCUGAAGAAGACGCUCGAGGACAACUCCAAGUCACUAGACGAGAAGGACAAGCAACUAUUGCAGAAAGAGCAAGAAAGAGCCGCCGUCGAAGCCGCGCUUCGCAAGAAAGAGGACGAGCUGAUGACGAAGUCCCGUGAAGCCGACACAGCUGCGAAGGCGCUGACUGGAUGCCUGCAGAGGUUGAACGAGACUUCUUCAAAGUUAUCCGAGAAAGAGACAUCCCUAGCAAAGCUCACCAGUGAAGUCGAUGCUCUGAAGGCCGCUGUCAGGGAUGCUGAAAGAAAAGCUGCUGCUGGUGUACACUCCACUCUCCAAAAGGCAGCAGUUCCUGACAUAAAUCAAAAUGGGGUCAAGGAGGCCCAGGCACCUGCCAAGAAGGAAGAGACAGCAAAGGAACUUGGAAAUUCACUACAAGAUGUGCAACAAGACCCUGAUGUGAAUCCACCACUGGACGCCGGCCAAUAGAGAGUAGCAAGACCUCGGUGGGUUUUGAACCGAAUCUCCAUAUAGCUGCCUGACAAGAGAAUUGAAAGUGAAGAGCAUAGGUGCAGAGCGUCCAGGAUGGCAUAAUUGUUCUGUCUCUUCGAUCACUGUCAUUUGCCACUGUGCGUCAUAAUGCUAUCAUGGUGAGGAGGAUCUCGCAGAUCUUCAUUAUUUUUAUUUGGUCCAGCUCAGAGCCUUGUGCAUCAGUUAUUGUGUCCUGUUGGAGCAGGUUGUUCAUUGUGGUUGAAAUUAUUGAUGCUGCCUCAAGGCUCGCAACUCAGUUCACGGAUUUACUGUGUAUGUAUAUUACCCAUCAUUAGAGCAGUGCUUCCAAUGUCAGCAUGAUCAGGUGCGUAAAAGUUAUCGAUGAUUUCUUGUUUGUCACGUUUUGAGCUACACUGCCGGUGUGAAACAGAUGAUUAUUCCAAGAAAAGUAUAUGUUGAAUAUCCUUUUCUUUAGGUUUGAACCUCACUAUUACAGGAAAUCAGGAUAUGUAGCAAAGAGGAUAUUGCCGUGUUACAUACAUUGUUCAUUACAAAAGUGUAUGCAGGCAAAUACACAAUUAGACUCCACAGAAGGAUAAUACCGUAUUUACUCGAUUCUACCGCGCCCUCGAUUGUAACGCGCACCCGUUUUCCGCGACAAAAAAAAAAAAAAAAGUAAUACAUCGAUUGUAACGUGCACCCAUUUUUCGUGAGAGAAAAGAACAAAAAAAGUCCGUAUGAGUCAAACUUCGCACAUUCAGAAGAACAUGUAUUUGGGUUUUAAAGAACUAGUUUCAAAAAAGUAAAACACAAAGUAAAAAAACGGGCCUUGCCGCUAAAACUGUCACCACUACGGCGGUGAUACGAGUCGCGUAAUGGAUCAGUCCUCGUCGCUGUCGGACAACUCCUUGUCGCUGUCAACGCUCUUCGAUUUCGGGAAACCGGCCCUGCUUUGGUCCACUGAAACCUUUUCGUGAAGCUUUGCUGUAAAAAAUCUUCUGCUUCUGUUUGCGCCAGUCUCGCACGCACGUUUCGGGAGCUCCGAACUAUAUCCGAACGACCGCGAUGCGGCCCGAUUUCCGUCCGUCUCUCUGCACAUGUAAUAACUAUUCUUUUAAAUGCGGCAUCGUGGUACACUCGUCGAGUAUUUGGAGUCGGCACUUCCAUGCCGUCGAUGCGAACGCAGAACGGGAUCACAAUCUCUUCAGCACACGUACGAACUUAAAAAAUGAGAGAAAUCGUAGGAGGCGGCCAUUUUGAAAUGUCGAUGGCAAUAGGAUAACCGAGUUUCUUUUUUUUUUUCGGUACUCAAUUCUAACGCGCAUGCGAUUUUUGGACUCAUUUUUCCGGAAAAAAGGUGCGCGUUAGAUUCGAGUAAAUACGGUAAAUGCUAAGAAUGUUAGGAAAUUAAUAUUUUCUGCCAUGAAUGGUAAUGUUCAGUAUAUUGAUUUAAGUUUGCAAUGCCUUUAACACAGUGCUUUGACUACUAUUUAGGAUGUUGAGUGGAAUGUGGUUAAAGUCACUUUAAAGCAACAGGAAAUAUUGAAAAGGAUUGGGUUAGCUGGACUUGUAAUAUGGCCUUAGUGCUAGGUCCUACCUACAGUGAGCACCAUAAUAAAAAUAAAGGGGUACAUCACUAAAGCAUGCCAUCAGCAGCAUCUCAUUGCCAAUAACUCAAUUCAUACUGGACUCGUUUUAAAAGAACUUUGGAAAAAAAAUUAAUGAUGGCAACUGAAAUUUGGAUGCCAUACAAUUUCAACUUCAUAUUUAUAUGCAUAGUCUGUAUUGCAUGUUUUGCAGCUGAGAACAAAUUUGCUGCCAUUCACCUUGUUUCCCAUGACUUGGCUCUUCCAUUUCUUGGCUCUUCAUAGAUUACAAUUGGCUGCUAAAUGUAACACCAAAGACGUCUUGGUUGACCUUACCUCAAAUCAUAGCCUGAUUGCUCAAGCCCACUCAGAGCCUGUUUACUCAUGCUAUUUUUUUUUGUAUCUGUAUUGUCCUGUUUAACCAAUUGUUUCGGCCUAUUUGCAGCAGUGCCUCCCACUAUAGUAGAACCAGCAAAUAAUGGCAUUCAAAACUUCAGCAUGUGUCGUGCGGAUGAUGCACUUUGUGAUGUUUCUUUUUCUUUGUGGCACAGACCAUCGUUGCUGUGAAUACAGAAGCUGCACAUGGUUGUCAGCAAUUUUAAUAAACACUCAACAUCUUCAUUAGUAAGAAAAUUUAAUAGCAUUUUAACGAAGUGUAGGCGCUAAAAUUUCUGACGAAGAUUUCAAAAAACCCCGCCAUAUGGUAGAAAACCUCCGUGUGACGACAUGAAUUAGUAUCAUGUGACAGCAACAUGAUGUAGAGUACCAAAGCGAUCACACUAGCACAGAUGUGCCAUCUGCUACAUUACACAUGAUGCCUCCACUUUGCGGCAUCAGUUCUACAAAAUGCGCUGCUUCAUCUCCUAGCAUCGAGACCACAUUGUUGUCAUUAUCGUCGUCAGAUGAAUCAGAGCACGAGCUACUGCCCAGAUGCGAGCAAAUGGAGGUGGAAAACCACUUUGUUUCUGAUUCCGGUGGUUUGGCCGUGAUAUUACCUAAAAAAUGAAAAAUGUAGAUAA
Rhipicephalus sanguineus (brown dog tick) is the source of this 3474-nucleotide RNA transcript. RefSeq lists it as uncharacterized. The record is from RefSeq and is a predicted model, not a curated record. The transcript has 7 exons. Lineage: Eukaryota; Metazoa; Arthropoda; Arachnida; Ixodida; Ixodidae.